GCCUCGCUGGCGCAAGGGCAGCGCACCGCCCUCGUAAGGCGGCGAUGCCGGUUCGAGUCCGGCGCGGGGCUCCA
This 74-nucleotide transfer RNA is filed under the name Bacillota bacterium. RNAcentral's name for it is "tRNA-Thr". It matches the Rfam family "tRNA". From Rfam's summary of the family: Transfer RNA (tRNA) molecules are approximately 80 nucleotides in length. Lineage: Bacteria; Bacillati; Bacillota. The record is from RNAcentral.